This 223-nucleotide long non-coding RNA is filed under the name Brassica rapa (field mustard). RNAcentral describes it as "long non-coding RNA (BRAP_LNC004504)". The record is from RNAcentral. Lineage: Eukaryota; Viridiplantae; Streptophyta; Magnoliopsida; Brassicales; Brassicaceae.
AAGCUUAGACACAAUCCUAAACAAACUCUAUGUCUAGAUGAAUGUUCAUUUACUAACACAAUUCAAACAUCAAAUGUCUUUGGUUGAAUAAUAUGAAAGCAAUCAUAACUAGCAAGUCCAAUGGCUAUCUUAGCACCUCUAACAACAAAUGUCUUUGGCAAAGUAUGCUAAAAGCUUAGAAGAGUUGUCUCGGGCAUUUCCUCGAACACCUUUCGGGUGAGAA